Long non-coding RNA from Alosa sapidissima (American shad), 577 nucleotides. RefSeq lists it as uncharacterized. NCBI's taxonomy places the organism in Eukaryota, Metazoa, Chordata, Actinopteri, Clupeiformes, Clupeidae. The transcript has 2 exons. The record is from RefSeq and is a predicted model, not a curated record.
UGAUUCAAGUUCAGCGUGUGUUGCGAACUAUUUGUUUCUCAGCAAAAGCCACGACGAAACGUUUUCUGGCUUUGGCGAAAAACACGCCGGUGACGUCGUCCACGCCCACCCUCAUGUCCACAGGCAGGGUGUAGAUGCUGAGCUGUAGUAACUGGUAGCCACUGACCCUGAGGCUGGCGCAGACCUGGGCCUCGUCCAAGGGCACCACGGGGAUGCGCAGCCCUGGCGCCCCCAGGUAGUAGCUCUCCCCCAGGGCACCAAUGAGCAGGAGGUGGCCCCCUGGGCGCAGCAGGGAGGUGAUGUGCCCCAGGGCCCGCGUGAACGCCGCCACGUCCGGGCUCGCGCUCUCCAAGCAGAAGCAGGACACCAGGCAGUCGGCUCCGCCUGUUGGCACAGCGGCGUCUGGGGGUAAAGGGCACGAGCGGUGCACGUCGAUGGGAAGGACAUCACUCACCACGGAGCGAAGUCGAGCAGCCUUCUCACUGGACUCUGAUGGCCUGUUGGAUAUGAGAGUGGAAACAAGGGGUGGGAAUAAAGAGAAAAUUCUUUUGACUUACACUCAGUCCUACGAGAUCAA